Molecule: ribosomal RNA, 468 nt
Filed under: uncultured bacterium
Lineage: Bacteria
Description: partial 16S ribosomal RNA
Rfam family: Bacterial small subunit ribosomal RNA
Source: RNAcentral
GACGAACGCUGGCGGCGUGCUUAACACAUGCAAGUCGAACGGAAAGGCCCUGCUUUUGUGGGGUGCUCGAGAGGCGAACGGGUGAGUAACACGUGAGUAACCUGCCCUUGACUUUGGGAUAACUUCAGGAAACUGGGGCUAAUACCGGAUAGGAGCUCCUGCUGCAUGGUGGGGGUUGGAAAGUUUCGGCGGUUGGGGAUGGACUCGCGGCUUAUCAGCUUGUUGGCGGGGUAGUGGCUUACCAAGGCUUUGACGGGUAGCCGGCCUGAGAGGGUGACCGGCCACAUUGGGACUGAGAUACGGCCCAGACUCCUACGGGAGGCAGCAGUGGGGAAUAUUGCACAAUGGGCGGAAGCCUGAUGCAGCAACGCCGCGUGCGGGAUGACGGCCUUCGGGUUGUAAACCGCUUUCGCCUGUGACGAAGCGUGAGUGACGGUAAUGGGUAAAGAAGCACCGGCUAACUACGUG